This 235-nucleotide ribosomal RNA is filed under the name Serratia sp. (in: enterobacteria). RNAcentral describes it as "Serratia sp. partial 16S ribosomal RNA". It matches the Rfam family "Bacterial small subunit ribosomal RNA", at positions 1186 to 1420 of the family's 1533-position model. Lineage: Bacteria; Pseudomonadati; Pseudomonadota; Gammaproteobacteria; Enterobacterales; Yersiniaceae. The record is from RNAcentral.
CAAGUCAUCAUGGCCCUUACGAGUAGGGCUACACACGUGCUACAAUGGCAUAUACAAAGAGAAGCGACCUCGCGAGAGCAAGCGGACCUCAUAAAGUAUGUCGUAGUCCGGAUUGGAGUCUGCAACUCGACUCCAUGAAGUCGGAAUCGCUAGUAAUCGUAGAUCAGAAUGCUACGGUGAAUACGUUCCCGGGCCUUGUACACACCGCCCGUCACACCAUGGGAGUGGGUUGCAA